UUCUUGGAAUUUCUGGAUGAGCUUCAGGUUUUGUAAUAGAAAAAGUGAUUUCAGCCAUACUUUCUACAUCUGGGACAAAAGAAACAGCCUGAGAACCUGAUCCUGAGCCCGCUAAGUCCUUGGAAAGAACUCUGCAGUCCAUGUUGUCCCCAGCUUGGUUGGUUGUCCUUGCAUGAUUAAGAGAUUCAGCAAUGAAAAACAGAUGAAAGUAAGUUUUAAAAAAACUUAAUUAAGUAAAAAAAAAAUACUAAAAUAUAUAAUAAUAAUAAUAAUAAUCCUAAAUGAGAAAUAACUAUCCAUGGCUAUCAGGAAUGACCUUUCUCUUCAACUAAUAAGAAAAACAGUUUCAUAUGAUAAUAGCAAAAUAUAAUAAAAUUUCC
RNAcentral lists this long non-coding RNA (380 nucleotides) under Anas platyrhynchos platyrhynchos (common mallard). RNAcentral describes it as "lncRNA (ENSAPLG00000021198.1)". Lineage: Eukaryota; Metazoa; Chordata; Aves; Anseriformes; Anatidae. The record is from RNAcentral.